GGGAUCGAAGUGUAACGGUUUGCACGACUCCCUGUCACGGAGUAGGUAGCGGGUUCAAUUCCCGUCGGUCCCGCCA
RNAcentral lists this transfer RNA (76 nucleotides) under Candidatus Daviesbacteria bacterium RIFCSPHIGHO2_02_FULL_39_8. RNAcentral describes it as "tRNA-Asp". It matches the Rfam family "tRNA". Rfam says of the family: Transfer RNA (tRNA) molecules are approximately 80 nucleotides in length. Their secondary structure includes four short double-helical elements and three loops (D, anti-codon, and T loops). Further hydrogen bonds mediate the characteristic L-shaped molecular structure. tRNAs have two regions of fundamental functional importance: the anti-codon, which is responsible for specific mRNA codon recognition, and the 3' end, to which the tRNAs corresponding amino acid is attached (by aminoacyl-tRNA synthetases). tRNAs cope with the degeneracy of the genetic code in two manners: having more than one tRNA (with a specific anti-codon) for a particular amino acid; and 'wobble' base-pairing, i.e. permitting non-standard base-pairing at the 3rd anti-codon position. RNAcentral also lists the same sequence under 1 other name. The record is from RNAcentral. Lineage: Bacteria; Candidatus Daviesiibacteriota.